RNAcentral lists this ribosomal RNA (305 nucleotides) under uncultured bacterium. Its description in RNAcentral is "bacterial SSU rRNA". It matches the Rfam family "Bacterial small subunit ribosomal RNA", at positions 333 to 655 of the family's 1533-position model. The record is from RNAcentral.
GACGUCCUACGGGGCGCAGCAGUAGGGAAUAUUGCUCAAUGGGGGAAACCCUGAAGCAGCAACGCCGCGUGGAGGAUGAAGGUUUUAGGAUUGUAAACUCCUUUUGUUAGAGGGGAUUAUGACGGUAUCUAACGAAUAAGCACCGGCUAACUCCGUGCCAGCAGCCGCGGUAAUACGGAGGGUGCAAGCGUUACUCGGAAUCACUGGGCGUAAAGAGUGCGUAGGCGGGGUAAUAAGUCAGAUGUGAAAUCCUGUAGCUUAACUACAGAACUGCAUUUGAAACUGUUACUCUGGAGUGUGGUAGG